Pogoniulus pusillus (Red-fronted tinkerbird) is the source of this 2496-nucleotide long non-coding RNA. RefSeq lists it as uncharacterized. Lineage: Eukaryota; Metazoa; Chordata; Aves; Piciformes; Lybiidae. The transcript is spliced from 6 exons. The record is from RefSeq and is a predicted model, not a curated record.
CCGUGCACAGAGCUCGCAGAAGGUGCAGAAGUGCCUCAGCAGCUGUUCCCCACUGGCCCUGGCUUUUCAGUCUGAAAUCGUAAGGAUUAAGCAGCAGUCUGGGGAAGGGCUGGACAGGGGGCUCGAGUCUGCUGCUGCUGUGAAUGUGGGGCACAGAUAAGGCUGUUCCCAUCCCACAGGUGUGACAGGAUGGCGAGUGGAGCUUCCUGAGCACUGGUGAGUGCUUGCACCAAAGACCUGUGUUUGGGGGCUGAGUGCCUGCACCCAGCGCAUGGCUGCUCCUCCGUGGCCUUCCUGAGUUCUGCUGCAUCCUUUGACAGCAACAUCUGGUGAUGUUUCAAGUGAAGCAGAAUGAUGAAAAUAACCUCACAUGGCAGUGAAUGCUUCUGCUCUGGCAGCACUGUGCAGAUUCCAGAGCACCAGGCUUUUCACAGAAAAAGCAACGCUGGAAAAACAAGCAAACUGGAGACAACGUAUGAAGUGAUCCCUGCGGGGAGAUGUCAGACAGCGAGAGCAGACAGAGCAGUGUGAAAAGGGCUGUUCCCAGGUUACCAAAAGCAUCUGGGCCAGGAUUAUAAAGUGGUCGGCUCGUCAUGGGAGCUGGAGUCUGUCCGUGUCCGUGUGGAACUGGAAGCAUUUCCGAGUGGGAGCUGCGCGCUGCCAUCCGUCAUGCGCUCGGAUGGAGCAGAGGGAGUCAGCCCGAGACAGGGCAGCUCCUUCCUCCCUGUCUCCAGCAUUAAUCUAAAUGCCAAAACGCAGACGUGUGGAAUGCGCCGGGAGACCACCAGCCCCCAGCUCCAGAUGGCACAGGAGUGUCCCCAGGUAGCACCAGCGACUGCCCAGCGCAGGUCACAGCUCUCGGUGGUGAUUCACCCUAGAGCCACAGGGACAUCUGCUUGAACAGAGCUCCCCACGCCAGCCUUGUUGCCAGCUGUCUCCUGGACUCCAAGGGCCAUCUCCUACUAUGUGGCUGUGCAGCUUCUUGCUUGGAGCUGCUGCACUGGGCAGGCUCCCUGGCAGCAACACUGACCUGCAUCUGAGUAAAGAUUGUGCCCACUGACUGCAAGACCUGGUAUGUUCCUAGCAGGAGGUGGAAUAGGCAUGGGUUUCAGCCAGCCUUUGUCCAUAGAUGGGUACAUCAUGGUCAUGCUGGUGCAGAGAGCAAGAUGUGUGCUGGUAUGGGGGACCUGGUUCCACAUUGGAAGGGCUAACUCAGUUGCAUGAAUGCCACUAGCCAGCUGCUGUCACAGAGACUGCUGGGGUGGGGAUGUGAAGUGCAGGUCUACGAGAUGGCCACUUGCCUGGGCAAGGGCCAGUGUGUAGGUGCUGCAAAUCCAUCCCAGUGCAGCUACCCAGGAGAGGCCAGGCACAGGCUUCUCUUCUCCCCUGCCCUAACCACUGUGCCAGAGAGCAGGGCUGUGCUGGGGAGGGAAUGAUGUGACCUGUCCUUGUGUAAGCUGAAGCAGGGGACUGAAAUGCCACAUGCCCUCCGCAGAGUUUUUCCAGGGCACAGCAGAGCCAUGUGAGCCCAGGGGUUGUUGGUCUGAGUGUAUGAAAGAGCAGGAAUUUGUCUCCAGGGGCUUUCACACGAGCACUAUGGCUUUCUCCCCUCCUCCUCACACACCCCACACUCAGGCUUGUGUGUUUAGUUCCUGCUUGGCUGAGCAGAGGGACCUUGUGUACCAGAGUGAGGCCUCAGAGUGAGGAAAUGAGUUUACAAAAAGCAAGUUGGUUAGUUUUGUCCAUGGAUUUGUAUGGUGAACUGCUCACCUUCCCUCAGGAGUCCUCCCCUCCUGUAUCUUGGCCAAGGAUCACCACAGCUUGAUGCUGCACAAGGUCUCAAACGUUUAUGUUUAAACCUUUACCACUAUUGGUCUUAACAUCUGUGGGGUGCAGAGCGCUCUGGGGUUGACACAAAGUGUGGGGGAGGUGCAGAAGUUGAUAUAUUGGUUGCCAAGAGGCUGUAGUGCUGCUCUUUUAGCUUUGGACAAACAGAAGGUGGCUUGUUUGGACACAGUCGUGCCAGACAGCAGUGGUGAAACUGGGAGAGCCUGGUUUAAGUCCUCUGGAUGUUGAGCAUCAGCCAAGGAAGGAUGCUGCUGAGCGCUGUUCUGCUGACUGCAGGUGAUGAAGAGUUGAAAGGCAUCAGUGCUACUUGCUGACAGCUGCAUCUCAACGGGGUGGUGCAACUUCCCUAGAGCAGCCCCAGAGCAGUGCUGGUGGUGCUAACCCUGGGAGGUGUGGCGCAAACCCUCGCAGAGGGUGGGCCAGGGUAUCUCCUGCCAUUCAUGAGGCUGAAGAGAGGUUACACGUGUAGGUAUUUGUCCCUGUCUGGUCUCUAAUGUGCCACUGCAAAAGUCAAGAUGAUUUUGUGUACUGGGGAGUCCCUCUGGUAGGGAUGCUCUCAAGACUGAGCCUCAGGGCUUGCCAUUAGCUUGCAGAAACCUAACAAAGGGUUUAGGGACUGUGGGAAACAAAGUGGUCACCUGGUGUAAC